RNAcentral lists this long non-coding RNA (1324 nucleotides) under Monodelphis domestica (gray short-tailed opossum). RNAcentral's name for it is "lncRNA (ENSMODG00000046861.1)". Lineage: Eukaryota; Metazoa; Chordata; Mammalia; Didelphimorphia; Didelphidae. The record is from RNAcentral.
AAACAAAAUAUAUGCGUGCAAAACCCCUAUCUCUUUGGAUGAAAUAUAUGACUCUUCUAUAUUGCAGAAUCACCAUGAGGUGUACCUAUGGUACCUAUGGCCUGCCCAUGUUAGGAAGGCAUGAUAAGAAUUUAGCAUAAUCUAGGUCCAGGAGAUACCCCUCACAUUAUCAUUAAAAUCUGUGUCCUUUCUACCACAUCCUCAAAAUCAUCUCAUCUAGUUGCUUCUGAAUAUGAUAUUACCUAUAUUAAAAUAUAUUUUAUUUAUUUUGUUAACUAUUUUCCAGUUUCAUUUUUAUCUCAUUUGAGCUAAACUCAAGAGUAUUGUGUGCUGCAUAGUGUCUGUGGGCCAUGUAUUUGACACCUGUGAGAGGAAGUAGUCAUGUUAAUAAGGUCAUAGCUACACUGGAGUGUUGUAAUACUGGAAUAUGAGAGCCACACAAUAGCUCUUUAGAUACCCCUAAGUCCUUACCAAAAGGCACUUGCCUCAACCAUCAUGUCAGUUCUGGCUCUGCUUCUGCUCUGCCUCUAAGGUGACUGAAUAAAGCAUGAAUAUGCAAAAUGCGUACAUGCCUUUGGGGGUAGCACUUAGGGUGUAAGAGCAUUAUCUCACAAGUGGUGGGGUGAGAGAAAUGCACAACAGAACCAAGUGGUGCUGGCACUCAAAAUGUGAGCAACACAGCACUUAUGCCAGAAGAGGUUUCCCUAGAAUGCCGUGCAUUCGUCUAUUCUAAAUCACUCCAAUGUGUUUUUGCUUACCACAUUGAUAGCUGCUGACAUUUCAUGUCUAUAUGAUUUUCACAGUGAAAACACUCCAGUUAUAACAAGAGGAUAUUCCAUUUGUUGGAAGAUGUGCUCCAAAUGGCAAAGGAUGUCACCCUUCAGAGGUCCUUAUGAUCCACUGAAGUUCUUUCUCUGGAAGUGGAUGGCAGUCCCUAUUAAUGCCUUUCAGAAUUGUCCAAGAUCAUCGCAUUGCUGUGAGUAGCGUUUUUUAUAAUCAUUGCCCAAUAUUGUUGUUAUUGUGUACAAUGUUGUCCUAGUUCUCUUAUUCACUCUGCAUCAGUUCCUGCAGAUCUUUCCAGCUUUUUCUGAAAUCAUAUUGCUUAUCAUUUCUUAUAACACAAUACUAUUCCAUCACCAACAGCCAUUCCCCAAUUGAUGGACAUUCCCUCAUUUUCUAAUUCUUUGCCACCACAAAAAGAGAAUCUAUAAAUAUUUUUGUUACAAGUAGGUUUUUUUACCCUUUUUAUUAUCUCUUUGAGAUCAUACCCAUAGUGGCAUUAUUGUACAACAGAUAUGUACAGCUUUAUAGGCCUUUGUAUAUA